This is a long non-coding RNA of Triticum aestivum (bread wheat), 5965 nucleotides long. RefSeq lists it as uncharacterized. NCBI's taxonomy places the organism in Eukaryota, Viridiplantae, Streptophyta, Magnoliopsida, Poales, Poaceae. The transcript has 5 exons. The record is from RefSeq and is a predicted model, not a curated record.
CCACCCGCUCCUUCACACAGCCGCCGCACCAUUCCUCCCUUCCGCCCCCUCCUCCUUCCCGGAUCCCCACCACGGGACCGACCUGCAGGCAAAGGGCAACAGCGGCGGCGCUCAGUUAGAUCUGUAGGAGAGAGAAGAUGAGAGGGAGAGAGAGGAGGGAGAAAGAGAGCAAGAGGAGAGGAGGCACGGCGUCGGAUGGGAGAGUGGCCAACCCGGCUCGCGUCGGCUGGGGCCGCACCCCUCCCUGAAGGGCGGCGAUGAUGGAGGGAUCCACGGCGCCAUCCAGGCUCCCGACCGACGGACUCGCUGGGUCGCCGCCCAUCCCGUGCGGCGGGGACAUCCACGGCGGCGCGGGCUGGGGACCGAGCGGCGGGGCCCGUGGUGCGUUCGGUCGAGGGAUUGGUCGGGCCGGCGCGGGCUCUUAGCCGCCGUCGAUGGAUUUCUCGCAGCCUGGCUACCUGUUGCUUUGGAUCCGAGAGUGAGUCAAGUGACAUACAUACACAAGAAAUAUUUAGUUAUGAGGAUUGAAGAAAUUAAUGAUCAUUCAGUCAUUGAGGAUUUGAGAAGAGACAUCAAUGUUCCAGUAGAGGUGUUAUUGAAGUUGUGGCUGUCAAUAGUCCUUUUAUUGAUGCUAAGUAUAUGGUAAGGAAAUAAUGCUAUAUGAUUUGCAUAUUUUUUGCUAUGAGAACUUCUGCAACUGAAACUCAAAGUUUAGGUGUUGAACUCAUAGUUUUGCAGUAGUUAGUUUUGUACUACUUUGUAUCAAAAUUGCAUCAGACCAUGCUGCACUGUAUUUUGAGCAUAGAAAAAUUACUUAACACCUUUAAUUUACAGAGCCUCACGUGUUUCAAGUAUGAAUAAGAACUACGAACUCUUUUUGUGCGAUUUAAAUACAUUUCCAGAGUUUUUAUUUGUUAGUACAUGUUGUCUAAAGUAACAUUUGCCCAGAGAGAGAAGCAUGCCCCUCUCUCGUUAUUAUUAUUAUUAUUAGAAGGUAUUAAAUUCAAAAUAAACAAUUUCAUUUACUUGAAGCACUUGAAAAGUUUGGUCGGUUGACUCCAGGUAUGAGCAGCUCCCGAGCUUGAUGGCUGGAUGUGUGCACACAUGUAAUGGGGUAUCAUGGUCAUGUUGCUUGGUGUGCAGAGGCAACCUCAUUUUUGGACCAAAAAGAGGGGCGAUGACGAUGAUGACUGGCUGAAACAAUCAUGUCUUGAGCAAUCAAGAUAGCCUUGGCUUGUGGGACUAAACAGAGCUGAAAAAGUCGGUGUCACCAUUGGAGUUUCCCUUAGAGCCUACCCUUACCUCUGUUGUAGCCUGCUUAAUUUUAUUGCCGAUGUUGGAUGAUAUGUGCCUUGGACGGUCGUUCUGAUGAGUGAUACUCUCGGACCAGGUCUAUUUCAACACACACGAACCCAUUGACCUCCCAUGUUCCUGGGGAGCGUUGCAUGUCGGAAAAUUUAGGGGUUGUGUCACACAAAGUUCUGCAUUGACACUUAGAAAGUAAGUGAAAAGCGAUAUGCCGUUUUUUGAGGCUAUCUACAAUCCCGUUAAAAGGCAACUGCUAAACACUAAAGGGCAAUGGAACUCAAUUUGUCGGUAUUCGCAGUUUGAUAAAUUAUAUUAGUAGUAUUUCUUGGAUUUAUAUAAGAAAAACAAAAAUAGUUACCUUUGUGUGAAUUACAGUGCUAAUGAUAAAUUCUUUGUAUCAGACAUGAAUGGACAUAUUCAAGAUUUCCUUUCACCUAGGCUUGGUUAGUUGGCCACUUCAAUUCCCACUUUCUGUCAUGUAAUCUUGAUGUCGAUAUUUCGACAUUACAUACAGAAUAUGAUGCAUUAUGUAGAAGUUACUAAUGGUCAAAAAAAUUCUGGAUAUGACACUUGCUUACUCCUAUUCACAUUAUGUAGAAGUUGCAUAAGGCAGAACAAGAAUAAGAACAUUUGUCAGUUUUUUCAUGUGCUGGUUCAGCAGCGGGCAAUGCUCACGACAGAGUUGGGCGUACAUCAUAUAUAUACAUAUGUUGUCGUGUCUUAAUAAAUGGAGAUGAGAUAUCUAUCCGACUGUCAUCCUUCCCAGACUUGGGUUUGUCAUCUCUGUCGGCGUCCACCUGCGCUUCCUUCAUUGGUUGUCAUUUCUUUGUACACUGCUGUAAUUUAGAGAUCAUAAUAUAUUUUCCAUGGAUACAAUUGAAUACGACACCCAAUUUGCUAUAUAAUUGUUCAGCUCUCUCUCAUAGCGAUUCAUACAAAAUAUCAUGCAUAAUGGUCCCAGCUUAAGUAGAAAAUAACCAUUGGAUUGUUCAAACUUUGCUCGUGUUUCGCAGGGCACCAUAACUCUAAUCCGACAUGAGCAGUCCAACCACGACAGUGAGCAGUGGAACCGCAAGAUAGAGAUAGAUACAAGUAGAAUAUAACUGGUCAUAUUUCUAAAAUGAUCACACUACUUAUGGUGCCGGAAGAGAAGGCAUCAGUGAUAGUGGGCUAGGUGAUGAGGGCAUCAAUACAAAGAGAUUAAUUCACAACUUUGUUCUUGAUAGGUUGUACAAAUAUACAAGGUACUACUGUUUCCUUUUAUGUUUAAAUAGCUUUGUGAGUACAACUAUAUGAAAAUUCUGCGAUUCAUGGUGCGGAAGCGGGCAUCUUUGUUUCCCUGACCAAAAAUUCUUAGUUUCAUGCCUCCACGGUAUAAUUUAGAGGCACAGUCCAAUGAGAGAUUCCUACUUAGCUAGCUAAUAUAUAACGUUUGAUGGUACUGUCUUGUGUUGUAAAUACAAGAUAUGCUACAUGAGCAUUACUUUUAUUUUGAAUUUAAUUUUGUGUUUGAGCCUCUUUUACAUAUUAAGUGUAAUAUCACAGACUUUCUUCUUUCAGGGUUAACUGGCCAUGCAAAAACUGUUGUGAGGCAUUAAAUGGUACUAUAUGUUUUUGGCCUGCUUUUGUUCACUUUUGUCCUUUCCAAAGUGUAAUAAGAAAAGAAAGUCAAAAUAGGCUCAACCAUGACUACUCUGCUCUUGUGAUCACCAAUUUCUGCUCCAUUGCGCACAAGAAAGUAGUGACUAUUUAUUUGCUUAAACAAUAUGUCCAACCACCAAUUUCUGCCUGUCCUGCUAAUACUCCUUUAUGGAUGUAUCGCACAAAUUUCAGUUAUUAGAUAUGAAAUGUAGGUUCUCUACACAGAGCUGGGUCCAAUGGUCAAUGCAGCUCUAUGUUGUGCUAUCUUGCUAUUGGGCUCUUUUUUCGUUACUUAAAAUGGACAUAUAUCUCUGAUGUUAAAUUCGUGCUUCAUUGCUUAUAUCCAAAAUAACCAUGUUAGUACACUGAAGCCAAUUUCUACAUUGUUAGUGAAGUUGGCUAAAUAGUUUUUGCGCCACUAAGAUAUAUAUGUGCACUGCAUUCUAACCCUGCAAAUUGUUGUGCUAUUAGUUUAAUCCAAAAUAUAAUUAUGUUUGUGUCUCGACAUAUGCUUGUGAUGCGUCGUGCUACCAGAGGCCAACAUUAUCCAGUAUCAUAGCGACGCUAAAAAUGCCUAUUGGUUACUCCGCAUAUUCUCAUCUGAUUUCUCAUAUAUAGAUAUUAAUUUCCUUUCAUGGGAGGCCUUCAUUACAUUUCAGCGGCAGUUGCGGAUGUGGUCGGCGGUUGAGGGAGGGUCUCCGACUAGAGCAGCAGGAGCAAGGAGCUCAAGGAGGUUCAGUUUGCUGGUCCAUAUUAAUUUCCUCGAGCUUAUUUUCACAUCUCGUCAUAUUUACACCUCUCCGCCGACUGCCACCUAUCAUGGAGGGAGAUGGCUUGGCCAGGCCGUCAAGACCCAUCGGCAACUUCCAGCAGGCGUCGUCCCGUACUUCUGCAUGAUAUUCCUCUUGUUGCAACCUUUUCCCAUAGAAUCAAAAGGAAUUAGAUUGAAGAAAUUGCAGGAGAGCAGGAAGGGUAUUCCUGGUGUGACAUUCAAAAGCAGUCAAAACGGUGAGGUUUAGAACGGAGGAGCUCCGUGGAAUUAUGGAUAAAAAAUUAUCCAUAACAUGUCUGUCAUUUCUCAUGUCGACCAAGGUAUGUGACCGAGCAGUGACAGUUGUCUCUAAUUAUCAAUUUUAUAUAGAGUCUUCUUGAUUGAUGAUUUUGUAGCCUUCUCUUAGUUGUACCAUAUUAAUUCUUAAAACUGGAUCAUUUAAAAUUAGUUAGAUUUAAUGAGUUGUUCCACUGUUUCCAAAUAAGUAGUUUAAGCCCUUAUUGUGUUCUGGAGCUUAUUCUUUCUGCCUUUUUAUGAUUGAUAUAUGCUCUCACAAGCUUAAAUGUAACUAUUGACAUAUAAUCUCAUGGCUCAAAGUCAUAGUUGAAUGUAUUAAAAUUUAUAAGAUUUGGAGUUUGCACUAUAAUUUCAUCCAGCGGUAUUCCCAAUAACUGAAUGUUAAGAGCACUGACGAUCCCAGGCUGUACAUUCAUGUACUGGGAAAUGCUUUUAUCUUGCACGCCAGUUUUACAUUUAUUUUUCAAUAACAAGAUGACCAUGAACAGGGUAUCAAGGUAUUUGCCUUGGCAUUACUAAUGUCGUGUUCAGAUUACUAAAAGAAGGAUUGAUAGCGGCAUACCUUAACUCGACUGAUGCUUUAACUACUGCCUCUCUAAGCCUUGAUUAGCCAUGGAGAUACUCAAGUUCCAAAGCCCCAAGUGAGGCUAUCCUUCUAAGAUCCGUUCAUCCCAAUUCAUUAAUUUGUUUGAAAUAUAUAUAUAUGUAUAUUCCAAUAUUGCUCAAUCUCCAGCUGGCCUCUAGGUUAUCAGAUGAAAUCCGGUUAAAUUUUAGGGAGGUUGAGUAGGAGUGUUUGGAACUAAAGGCUUUGUUGUUGUUUGAGUAGGAUUAUCUCCCUUUUCUGUAUAAAUUUUGUUGCUAUGAAUAGUUGCAUUGUUACGUCAAUGAAAAGUUCCUGGGCGUACUAUGUGUUCCUCUAGACUUGGUUGAAAGUAUUCCUUCUGUUAUCCAGUUUCUCACUACGCAUGUUACCUUUGUUGCUGAAUUUUGCCUAUAGUUUAUAUAUAGUAGACUCACAUGAUUACCUGAUGACUCAUUCAUGCAAGAACUAUUGUUAAUUUUUUCCUUUUCUGCAAUGAUGGUCGUAGUCCUUUGAUUCUACCAGCCGCAAAGGAGUGAAUGUAGAAAAUAUGUCCAUUGUCGUUGAAUUGGUGGGAUUGUCACCAAGUUAGUGCCGCAGAUUUCUAUUUUAGAGCAAGAAGCCAAAUCAUGUAGUUUCAUUGUAAAUCUUGAAAAACUUGUUUAUUGUCACUUCUAUAUCUGUUACAAGCUUUUUUUUUCAUGAUGUGGUACUUGUCAAUCUUGGUUUGCCCUUCCAUUUCAAGUCUGCCCUUAAAUUCCAGCAGACCAAAAAGUCCUUGUUUCUUCAAUUGGUUUCUCGUUUCAUGUUUGCACUUCUAUUACAGUACAAUAUUUCAUAAACAUGGCAUUGGUCAUUAUUUGUCCAGUUCCCUUCAAAAAAAGAAGAGAUGGCUAUAGAGAGUUGAUCCUUCUACAUAACAGAGCAGAGGAGUGGGAACUAUAAACAUGCCUCACUGAAGAGAUGAAAAAUGUUGUGCAAGGCAUUGGUUGUUAAGCUCCUUUAAAAAUGAAGGAAUUAUAGUGCAUCUGACCUAUAAAGGGGUUGUGAGGGACAAAACGCUAUGGAUUCAGAGUAGUGGGAGGGCACAGUUUACCAACGACGCAAGGACAAAGCGUGACCUUGAUUCCAAAGUUCCAGCUCACAUAGCAGAAUUGUAUAGAGAGGAUGCCUGCAUUUUGAAAACUCUGUUACAUAGUUUGAGGCUAUGUUUCUUUCAAUUUUCAUUAUUAAAAGGAUCCUUAUUAUUGCCAAAUUGUCAAUUAUUUUCAAAUAGCUCUUGGUUUGAAAUGGGACCAUGUGCCAUCUAGCGCAAUGGGUACUGUUAUUAUACAUUCUAUUAUUGACAACAAGCCUUCAUUGUUUUU